GCUUGCACUGAAUGAGAUUUUAACACGAAGUGAGUGGCGGACGGGUGAGUAACACGUGGGUAACCUGCCCAGAAGCAGGGGAUAACACCUGGAAACAGAUGCUAAUACCGUAUAACAGAGAAAACCGCCUGGUUUUCUUUUAAAAGAUGGCUCUGCUAUCACUUCUGGAUGGACCCGCGGCGCAUUAGCUAGUUGGUGAGGUAACGGCUCACCAAGGCGAUGAUGCGUAGCCGACCUGAGAGGGUAAUCGGCCACAUUGGGACUGAGACACGGCCCAGACUCCUACGGGAGGCAGCAGUAGGGAAUCUUCCACAAUGGACGCAAGUCUGAUGGAGCAACGCCGCGUGAGUGAAGAAGGGUUUCGGCUCGUAAAGCUCUGUUGUUAAAGAAGAACGUGGGUGAGAGUAACUGUUCACCCAGUGACGGUAUUUAACCAGAAAGCCACGGCUAACUACGUGCCAGCAGCCGCGGUAAUACGUAGGUGGCAAGCGUUAUCCGGAUUUAUUGGGCGUAAAGCGAGCGCAGGCGGUCUUUUAAGUCUAAUGUGAAAGCCUUCGGCUCAACCGAAGAAGUGCAUUGGAAACUGGGAGACUUGAGUGCAGAAGAGGACAGUGGAACUCCAUGUGUAGCGGUGAAAUGCGUAGAUAUAUGGAAGAACACCAGUGGCGAAGGCGGCUGUCUGGUCUGUAACUGACGCUGAGGCUCGAAAGCAUGGGUAGCGAACAGGAUUAGAUACCCUGGUAGUCCAUGCCGUAAACGAUGAUUACUAAGUGUUGGAGGGUUUCCGCCCUUCAGUGCUGCAGCUAACGCAUUAAGUAAUCCGCCUGGGGAGUACGACCGCAAGGUUGAAACUCAAAAGAAUUGACGGGGGCCCGCACAAGCGGUGGAGCAUGUGGUUUAAUUCGAAGCUACGCGAAGAACCUUACCAGGUCUUGACAUCUUCUGCCAACCUAAGAGAUUAGGCGUUCCCUUCGGGGACAGAAUGACAGGUGGUGCAUGGUUGUCGUCAGCUCGUGUCGUGAGAUGUUGGGUUAAGUCCCGCAACGAGCGCAACCCUUAUUACUAGUUGCCAGCAUUCAGUUGGGCACUCUAGUGAGACUGCCGGUGACAAACCGGAGGAAGGUGGGGACGACGUCAAAUCAUCAUGCCCCUUAUGACCUGGGCUACACACGUGCUACAAUGGAUGGUACAACGAGUCGCGAAACCGCGAGGUUUAGCUAAUCUCUUAAAACCAUUCUCAGUUCGGACUGUAGGCUGCAACUCGCCUACACGAAGUCGGAAUCGCUAGUAAUCGCGGAUCAGCAUGCCGCGGUGAAUACGUUCCCGGGCCUUGUACACACCGCCCGUCACACCAUGAGAGUUUGUAA
RNAcentral lists this ribosomal RNA (1367 nucleotides) under Pediococcus acidilactici. Its description in RNAcentral is "bacterial SSU rRNA". It matches the Rfam family "Bacterial small subunit ribosomal RNA", at positions 61 to 1417 of the family's 1533-position model. Lineage: Bacteria; Bacillati; Bacillota; Bacilli; Lactobacillales; Lactobacillaceae. The record is from RNAcentral.